This 245-nucleotide ribosomal RNA is filed under the name uncultured bacterium. Its description in RNAcentral is "partial 16S ribosomal RNA". It matches the Rfam family "Bacterial small subunit ribosomal RNA", at positions 524 to 768 of the family's 1533-position model. The record is from RNAcentral.
UACGUAGGGGGCGAGCGUUGUCCGGAGUUACUGGGCGUAAAGGGCAUGUAGGCGGUCACGUCAGUUUCUGGUGACAGGUUCCGGCUUAACUGGGACAGGCCUGGAAAGACGGCGUGACUUGAGAGCUUCAGAGGGAUGCGGAAUUCCAGGUGGAGCGGUGAAAUGCGUAGAGAUCUGGAAGAACACCGAAGGCGAAGGCAGCAUCCUGGGAAGAGACUGACGCUGAGGUGCGAAAGCUAGGGUAG